GAGAGAAAUUACUUCAAGCUUAUAACGAAGAGAUAAAAAAGAUCCAACUGGGUGCCAGGGAUCACCUCAAGAAGAUCUUCAGCGAUCAUGAAAAGCUGAAGUUGCAAUUGGAAUCUCAGAAAAAAGAGUUUGAGUUAAGAGGAAGAGAACUGGAGAAGCGUGAAGCACAAAAUGAAAACGAGAGCAAGUAUCUGGCUGAAGAAAUUGAAAAG
RNAcentral lists this unclassified non-coding RNA (212 nucleotides) under Hevea brasiliensis (rubber tree). The record is from RNAcentral. Lineage: Eukaryota; Viridiplantae; Streptophyta; Magnoliopsida; Malpighiales; Euphorbiaceae.